UGCAAAAUAACAGUUAACCGACAAACACACUAGACUCGGGCUCCAUUAGCGACCUUAAACAAUUUCACACAUUCGUUGAUUCAAGAAAUACCAUUUUAUCAUUUUUGAACUUUAAUACCGUGAUAGGAAAUAGAGUGAGAGGUCCUUACUCGUUUCGGGGUCCAAACACGGCUUCACAGUGCGCCUACAGGCUGUCCCUAAUUUUCCCUGAAUUUUUCCCGGGGAACUGAAACACACUACUGGUACCUGCACGUGUUCCAAAAAAUCUCAAAUUAGG
This 277-nucleotide long non-coding RNA is filed under the name Carica papaya (papaya). RNAcentral's name for it is "long non-coding RNA (CPAP_LNC015033)". The record is from RNAcentral. Lineage: Eukaryota; Viridiplantae; Streptophyta; Magnoliopsida; Brassicales; Caricaceae.